UGCCGUAGGUGAACCUGCGGCAGGAUCAUUA
Molecule: ribosomal RNA, 31 nt
Filed under: Golovinomyces orontii
Lineage: Eukaryota; Fungi; Ascomycota; Leotiomycetes; Helotiales; Erysiphaceae
Description: partial 18S ribosomal RNA
Source: RNAcentral